CUUCUCUCAGGGUCACACCUGGAGAGUUUCCAGUACUCUACCAGUCACGACUACAGGAGGGAGAGUCAAGCAAAGGCCUACCCAUUCCAUUCCUGGCUUGGGCAGUGGCUAGCGAGUGGAAGGCAAUCUGCUACAAUU
RNAcentral lists this small nucleolar RNA (138 nucleotides) under Ornithorhynchus anatinus (platypus). Lineage: Eukaryota; Metazoa; Chordata; Mammalia; Monotremata; Ornithorhynchidae. The record is from RNAcentral.